Molecule: unclassified non-coding RNA, 1291 nt
Filed under: Hevea brasiliensis (rubber tree)
Lineage: Eukaryota; Viridiplantae; Streptophyta; Magnoliopsida; Malpighiales; Euphorbiaceae
Source: RNAcentral
AAGAAAUUGAAAAGAAAAGCCCUCUUCUCUCGUCUGUUAAUAUAUCAUUUUCCGUCCCCUAAUUGAAAUUUCAAAACUGAAGGUAAAGUGAGAGUUCUCUCUCUCUCUCUCCGUGUUUGGGAGCUGAGAAAGUUGAACUCCCAAGAAAUUUCAAUUUCCCUCAACUAAUGAAAAUUUUCUGUUUGUUUUCGUAUCGUUGAGUUUGAAAUUACAUUGGCAGUAAUGUCCCUCCUCAGUAGAUUCUUCUACCGAAGGCCUCCCGAUGGAUUGCUUGAAUUUGUCGACAGAGUAUAUGUUUUUGAUUCUUGCUUUUCAACUGAAGUUUUGCCUGAGGGAAUGUAUCAAAUAUAUCUACAUGAAAUUGUUGCUGAAUUGCAUGAGGAAUUUCCUGAUUCAUCUUUUCUCGCUUUUAAUUUUCGUGAGGGUGAAAAAAGGAGCCAGUUUGCUGAAAUUUUAUGCCAAUAUGAUGUCACUGUCAUGGAUUAUCCACGACAGUAUGAGGGUUGCCCUCUUCUUCCUUUGUCUUUGAUUCAGCAUUUUCUUCGUGUUUGUGAGACUUGGCUUUCCAUUGGGAAUCAUCAGAAUAUUAUCCUUUUCCAUUGUGAGAGGGGGGGUUGGCCUCUUUUGGCCUUCCUUUUAGCUAGUUUCUUGAUUUUUAACAAGUUGCAUACUGGUGAACGAAGAACUCUUGAGAUUGUGCAUCGAGAGGCUCCUAAAGGCUUCUUGCAGCUUUUGUCACCUCUCAAUCCUUUCCCAUCUCAGCUUCGUUACCUGCAGUAUGUAGCCAGAAGAAAUAUAACACCUGAGUGGCCUCCUCCAGAACGUGCACUUUCUUUGGAUUGUGUUAUUAUUCGUGCCAUUCCAAGCUUCGACUCUGAAAAUGGGUGCAGGCCAAUCAUUCGUAUUUUUGGUAGGAAUUUCCACACAAAGCGUGGGCUUUCGACCCAUAUGCUCUUCUCAAUGUCCAAGAAGAAGAAGGCCACCCUUCGGCAUUAUCGCCAGGCAGAAUGUGAUGUGAUUAAGAUUGACAUUCAGUGUAUGGUGCAAGGAGAUGUUGUAUUGGAGUGUGUGCAUCAGGACUUGGAUCCAGAAAGGGAGGUUAUGAUGUUUCGUGUAAUGUUUAAUACUGCGUUUAUUCGAUCUAAUAUAUUAAUUCUCAAUUCUGAGAACUUGGACAUUCUUUGGGAUUCAAAGGAACGAUAUCCCAAAGGCUUUCGGGCAGAGGUUUUGUUUGGGGAGGCAGAGAACAUAUCGCCACCGAAGGCUCCAACUACAAUUUUAAAUGGUGAGG